AACCAAACUCUUGAUAUUUUAUGUCUCUCUGAGUAAACUUUUAAAUAAGUCAAAACUUUCAACAACGGAUCUCUUGGUUCUGGCAUCGAUGAAGAACGCAGCGAAAUGCGAUAAGUAAUGUGAAUUGCAGAAUUCAGUGAAUCAUCGAAUCUUUGAACGCACAUUGCGCUCGCCAGUAUUCUGGCGAGCAUGCCUGUUCGAGCGUCAUUUCAACCAUCAAGCUCUGCUUGCGUUGGGGAUCCGCGGCUGCCCGCGGUCCCUCAAAAACAGUGGCGGGCUCGCUAGUCACACCGAGCGUAGUAACUCUACAUCGCUAUGGUCGUGCGGCGGGUUCUUGCCGUAAAACCCCCCAAUUUCUAAGGUUGACCUCGGAUCAGGUAGGAAUACCCGCUGAACUUAAGCAUAUCAAUAAGCGGAGGAAAAGAAACCAACAGGGAUUGCCCUAGUAACGGCGAGUGAAGCGGCAACAGCUCAAAUUUGAAAUCUGGCUUCGGCCCGAGUUGUAAUUUGUAGAGGAAGCUUUUGGUGAGGCACCUUCUGAGUCCCCUGGAACGGGGCGCCAUAGAGGGUGAGAGCCCCGUAUAGUCGGAUGCCGAUCCAAUGUAAAGCUCCUUCGACGAGUCGAGUAGUUUGGGAAUGCUGCUCAAAAUGGGAGGUAAAUUUCUUCUAAAGCUAAAUACCGGCCAGAGACCGAUAGCGCACAAGUAGAGUGAUCGAAAGAUGAAAAGCACUUUGAAAAGAGGGUUAAAUAGCACGUGAAAUUGUUGAAAGGGAAGCGUUUGUGACCAGACUUGCGCCGUUCCGAUCAUCCGGUGUUCUCACCGGUGCACUCGGGACGGCUCAGGCCAGCAUCGG
Molecule: ribosomal RNA, 855 nt
Filed under: Sordariomycetes sp. genotype 71
Lineage: Eukaryota; Fungi; Ascomycota; Sordariomycetes
Description: eukaryotic LSU rRNA
Rfam family: Eukaryotic large subunit ribosomal RNA (bases 364-855)
Source: RNAcentral